This 262-nucleotide ribosomal RNA is filed under the name unidentified marine bacterioplankton. RNAcentral describes it as "partial 16S ribosomal RNA". It matches the Rfam family "Bacterial small subunit ribosomal RNA", at positions 53 to 339 of the family's 1533-position model. RNAcentral also lists the same sequence under 1 other name. The record is from RNAcentral.
ACAUGCAAGUCGAACGAACCUUCGGGUUAGUGGCGGACGGGUGAGUAACGCGUGAGAAUCUGCCCUCAGGAGGGGGGAUAACGGGCUGGAAACGGCCGCUAAAUACCCCCAUAUGCCGAGAGGUGAAAAUGAAAUUUCGGCCUGAGGAUGAGCUCGCGUCUGAUUAGCUAGUUGGUGUGGUAAAGGCUCACCAAGGCUUCGAUCAGUAGCUGGUCUGAGAGGAUGAUCAGCCACACUGGGACUGAGACACGGCCCAGACUCC